GUGAAAGUGAAAGUGUUCAGACUUGUUCUAACAACAAGGAGCAGACGGAGGAGACGUGAAGUCUGAGGCUGAGAGAAGAAGAUUCAGGAUGAACUUCUGUCAGUCAAUCAACAGUUUGACUCAACGCUGUGAUUGGCUGAGUCCAACACAUUAAACCUACACCUGUCUCAGACUGAAGAUGAGUGGUUAUGAGGAGGAAGAGGAGGACAGAGCAGAGUCUCCAGGGUUCAGCUGUGUGUCUCUGAAGAGUGACAUGUCCAUGGAACAGCCUCCAGUCUUCAGUAAUGAACCUGGACCCUCACACACAGAAGGUCAGGACCACAGACUGAGAGCCGAGUCUCCAGGGUUCAGCUGUCUGUCUCUGAAGAGUGACUGGUCCAUAGGAAUUCCUCCAGUCUUCAGUAAAGAACCUGGACCCUCACACACAGAAGAGAGGAAGAGGAGUCAUGUUUCUGAGGAGGAGCAGUCGUCCUGC
Long non-coding RNA from Hippoglossus stenolepis (Pacific halibut), 475 nucleotides. RefSeq lists it as uncharacterized. The record is from RefSeq and is a predicted model, not a curated record. The transcript has 5 exons. NCBI's taxonomy places the organism in Eukaryota, Metazoa, Chordata, Actinopteri, Pleuronectiformes, Pleuronectidae.